This 478-nucleotide ribosomal RNA is filed under the name uncultured Planctomycetales bacterium. Its description in RNAcentral is "bacterial SSU rRNA". It matches the Rfam family "Bacterial small subunit ribosomal RNA", at positions 364 to 832 of the family's 1533-position model. The record is from RNAcentral. Lineage: Bacteria; Pseudomonadati; Planctomycetota; Planctomycetia; Planctomycetales.
UUUCGCAAUGCCCGAAAGGGUGACGAAGCGACGCCGCGUGCGGGAGGAAGGCCUUCGGGUUGUAAACCGCUGUCGGGAGUUAAGAAAUGCAAGGAUGUUAAUAGCGUUCUUGCUUGACUAAGGCUCCGGAGGAAGCCACGGCUAACUCUGUGCCAGCAGCCGCGGCAAUACAGAGGCGGCAAGCGUUGUUCGGAAUUAUUGGGCGUAAAGAGCACGUAGGCGGCUGUGUAAGUCGGUUGUGAGAGCCUUCCGCUCAACGGAAGAACGGCAUCCGAUACUGCAUGGCUUGAGUGUGGGAGGGGAGAGUGGAACUUCUGGUGGAGCGGUGAAAUGCGUAGAUAUCAGAAGGAACACCGGCGGCGAAGGCGACUCUCUGGUCCAUAACUGACGCUAAGUGUGCGAAAGCUAGGGGAGCAAACGGGAUUAGAUACCCCGGUAGUCCUAGCCGUAAACGAUGGGCACUAAGUAGAGGGGUUUU